UCCUCCCUCAGCGCAGCUUUGCAGGCGCUGGGGCUCCCAAAGGACGGAGCUUUGAAUCCACCUGGGAGGCUUAAGAGAAAGUGCUGAGUCCCCCAUGCCCUACCCCUGAGACUGCUGACAGGCAUCGCUGAGGGCUGCAGCUUUGGAAUCGGGCAUCUUCUGAGGAAGAGAAAGGCACCACAGCCACGGCACAGAAGACUAGAGACGGGUGUCACUAUGCUGCCCAGGCUGGUCUCUCGUGGCUUCAAGAGAUAUUCCCACCUUGGUCUUCCAGAGCACUGGAAUUGAAGUUCUAGGUGCAAUGUUUUAAGGGGAAGACUUACACUAUGAAGCUAGCCCAGAAGAGGGUGACUAGAGUACUGAGGAGUUUCUACCUGGAAGGGCUGUAAGGAAGACAACUGCUAUGUUGUGAGCGGCUCUAUGGAGAGGCCCAUGUGGAGGGAAGUGAGGAAGGCCUCUGGCCAACAGUCCAGGAGGAAGUGAAGCCCUCAGUCCAACAGCCUGUGUGGAACUGAACCCUGCAAACAACUCUGUGUGUGAGCUUGGAAGUGGAUCCAUAUUCAGUCAAACCUUGAGAUGGGACACCAUGCUCUGCUAACACUUGAUUGUGGUCCCAGCUAGGCCACUGCUGAAGUCUUGACUCAGAGAAACGAUGAUAUAGUAAAUGUUUGUUGUUUCAAGUUGGUAAGUUUUGGGAUAAUUUUUUAUAUAGUGAUAAUUUUUUAUAUACUUUAAAAUAACACAUUGCCCUAUCCUUUGGUUACACUUUUCUCUUGGAACUCUGCUUGCCCAUAUAUUACAGAAAUAUUUUUCAGAUCAUGGGCUGAAAGGUGGAUUAUGGAUGCAAUGUUUAAAUUUAGCAAUGUCAUUUAUGACUGUUCAUAUGAGCUUUGCUGCAUAAAAUGUUGAUAUUAAUUUGUUUCCCUUUAAGACAUUCUUAAUGUUUACCUCUCAGUAUUUUCUUUGUAAUCAAUUAAUGUAAGAUGAAUAUAGUUUGUAGGUUUUACCUUUCUUGAUUCGUAUACAAAACACACAACAUCCAACCAUUGUUAUUUAAAGAUUAUCUAGGAGGAGAUGAUGGAAACUCUGUUUUGGGCCACCUUCUUUACACAUUGGGUCUAUUUCCCCUAACUUGAGUAUAUAUUAAACUAGUGGGGGAUUGAGCUACAAAAAUGCUACUUGGUGAGAAUUUUAUUAAUACAAAUACUCAACUCUGAAGUUACGUUUUUGUGGAAAGUUAUCACUUUGGAAUUUGAAUUUUCUUGGAGCUAAGCCACUGGUAGUUGUAAAAGCUACACCUGUAAAUUUGCUCCCUAGAAGAUACUUUCGUUUAGUGACCACUUGUUUCUCUGUGGAUAAAUUCAAUUAUAAAUUACAAUCGAAUUGACGUUUUCAUAGCAUCCUUCACUCUCCAAGUAUCUCAAGUCCUCUGUGAAUUAUAAAGUAAUUACAGUGCUCAAAGGACAGUUUCAUAAUUGUGUCCAUGAGCACAGACUUUCCUCUAUGUUCGAGAAGGGCUCAUUCCCAGCCGGGAACAUUAAGUUGGAUUUUAUUGAGACUGGGGACUGCUAGUCCAGACAGCUGGGUGAUCCCCUGCGCUAUUUUGAAAAGUAUCCUGGGAUCUUUAAUUUCCACCUGGAUGGUCAGGGAGGUGAGAGAACGGCCCUCACUGGGUGUGACCUUGUAUCCCACUUGGGGUCUUGAACCAGGGGACCCCCAACCCCAGAGGUGAGACAUGCAAUAUGGUCAAUUAUACAACCUCUUAAUUAUUUUUUGCUGAAUCUCAAGUGAGUUCUCAUGGCCUGCUCUCUCCCGGGUGGGUUCAGAAGGUGGCCAAGAAGAAAUGUUAGAAAAUUCCCAGAGAGCCAUUUCAUGAGAAUGUUUUCUUUGGUUUAUACCUGAUACUGUUUUGUUUUUGUUGUUGCUUUUUAAUAACUUUUUUUUCUUUUUGUGGGGUCAUUUGCGUAAUACACAGGUGACGAACACUCAAGGUUAUUUGGUCGCAUGCCACCAAAUAACUUUCCUUUGGCACAUCUGCAGUGAAGGAGUCUUUCUGUCUGUCUCCUUUUGUUCCUCAUCAUCUAUUAGCUUGGCACAGCUGACUGAGCUGUUAAAUGAUUACUGCAUAUUUUGUACCUCACCUUGAGAGGCUUUGGUAUAAAAAGGUGCUAAUUAAGCUGAAGCUUCUGGCCCUCUUGCCUAUGUGGGCCCCAGGAAGCGAAGCAAAAAGACUUUAGGGAGCUGGAGCUUGUGUGUGUGUGUGUGUGUGU
RNAcentral lists this long non-coding RNA (2270 nucleotides) under Homo sapiens (human). RNAcentral's name for it is "HSALNT0225645". Lineage: Eukaryota; Metazoa; Chordata; Mammalia; Primates; Hominidae. The record is from RNAcentral.